This 1509-nucleotide long non-coding RNA is filed under the name Zalophus californianus (California sea lion). RNAcentral describes it as "lncRNA (ENSZCAG00015009125.1)". Lineage: Eukaryota; Metazoa; Chordata; Mammalia; Carnivora; Otariidae. The record is from RNAcentral.
CUUCCCUGAAAUGCCUUGAAACGAGCAAGUGGUUCAUGGGAGCUGUGCAAGAUAUUACAAAAUUGCAGUGUAUAUUUGAAAUUCAAAUGCACCUGAGAUUCAUGCAUUUUGUUGUCCUGCGGUUCACAUCUCCUAAAUAAAACAUUUCCCCUGUGUAGGCGCUCCCGGGGGCUCCACAUGAGGUCAGCGUUUGGGUGGCUUUGCCGGGGUCAGAAGACUGUUCUUCCAGGAAGGGCUGCAGAGACCCUGGGAACGGGACCAGCCCAGCUCACAAGUAUGAAGAGAAUGUCGGAGAGGAAGUGGUGGCUGUGAGUCAGCAUGAGUCAUCUCGUUCCAAUGAGAACGAAGACUGAGGUGUGCGCCCUUUUUUUUCUUUUUCUUCUUUUUCCUCUUUUUUCUUUUCUUCCUCCCCCCCCCUUCUCUCUUUCUCUCUCUCUCUCUUUUUUUUUUUUUUUUUUUUUUGGUCUCAGCCACGGGGACAUGUUCAGGAAUAGAGGGGAAUAGUGACUGGCUGGCUGUUCUGAGCCUGGGCUAGUAUUCCAGGCCGGCUGUGCCUGAGCCCGUGUGUGCCCCAGACCUUCGCGGCUCGGCGGCUGGAAGGUGGAGCCAGCGGCUUCUCCCCGAUGUGCAAAGUAAAGAGAAAAGGGGAGAGGACUUGGCUCAGGGGUGCGGCCGCCAGCAGCUCUCCCAUCCUUUAUGAACUGCGUCAGUAAAGGAGACUCUCAGGCGGAAGGACUGUGAGAACAAUGCAGGAGGAGUGGCCAUGGCCACCAGAAGACAUGACACCAUGUGCAGACAAGGACGACAAGUUAGUGAAACAGUCUUCACAGAAAAGGGGAACACAGGCUGAUACCAACGUGGGAACACUUGGCGGAGAGCGUUCUCACCUGCUGCCAGGUGAGUGCAGCCAGGUUGGCGACAUCUCCCAACUCUGCUGAAGGGGAUACCCCACCUCCUGGUACCACCACCACCACCACCACCACCACCACGCAACCCUCCCUCUUGCUGGCGAGGAGCGGCCAGGCAGCCCUGAAGACCCAGAAAUGCCAGAAGCGGGACGCCAGGCAGCAAGCAGCCUAUCUGUGUGCACUUGAUGCAGAGGUCAGAAUGAAGUGGUCACAAUGGUAAGAUCUAAGACCUGCUGCUAAGUCAGAAUCACAUGCGAAUUACGGCAUUUGUAGAAAAAGCAAAACCAACGUAAUGUAAAUAAACACACAGAGCAACGGAAAGGAUCUGGAAAAAUUUGAACUCUUGUGUUGGUGUGGACGUAGGACCGGGGACGGGAGCCGAACAAGCUGGGUUUGAAAUAAAUGAGAUCUGAAAUAAAUGUAGACACACACAUAUCUAUAGUGAUGAGACCGUAUCUGUGUAACGCUCGCCUCAUUAAAAUGAAAAACACGAACACAUCACCAGCUUAAAACGAAGCUCGGCCCGUCUCACGUUCCCAGCAUUUAUUUCAGAGAACUGAUUAUAGAAUGGCUUGCUCUGGAUUUUAUAGCCUAGACCCCG